AGCGAACGCUGGCGGCAGGCCUAACACAUGCAAGUCGAGCGCCCAGCAAUGGGAGCGGCAGACGGGAGAGUAACACGUGGGAACGUGCCUUUUGGUUCGGAAUAACUCAGGGAAACUUGAGCUAAUACCGGAUAAGCCCUUACGGGGAAAGAUUUAUUGCCAAAAGAGCGGCCCGCGUCCGAUUAGCUAGUUGGUGAGGUAAUGGCUCACCAAGGCGACGAUCGGUAGCUGGUCGAGAGGAUGACCAGCCUCAUUGGGACUGAGACACGGCCCAAACUCCUACGGGAGGCAGCAGUGGGGAAUAUUGGACAAUGGGCGCAAGCCUGAUCCAGCCAUGCCGCGUGAGUGAUGAAGGCCUUAGGGUUGUAAAGCUCUUUUAGCAGGGAAGAUAAUGACGGUACCUGCAGAAAAGCCCCGGCUAACUUCGUGCCAGCAGCCGCAGUAAG
RNAcentral lists this ribosomal RNA (446 nucleotides) under uncultured bacterium. RNAcentral describes it as "bacterial SSU rRNA". It matches the Rfam family "Bacterial small subunit ribosomal RNA", at positions 29 to 524 of the family's 1533-position model. The record is from RNAcentral.